Molecule: ribosomal RNA, 305 nt
Filed under: uncultured bacterium
Lineage: Bacteria
Description: bacterial SSU rRNA
Rfam family: Bacterial small subunit ribosomal RNA
Source: RNAcentral
CCUACGGGAGGCAGCAGUGAGGAAUAUUGGUCAAUGGUCGGGAGACUGAACCAGCCAAGCCGCGUGAGGGAUGAAGGUACAGAGUAUCGUAAACCUCUUUUGUCAGGGAACAAAGGCGGGGACGCGUCCCCGGAUGAGUGUACCUGAAGAAAAAGCAUCGGCUAACUCCGUGCCAGCAGCCGCGGUAAUACGGAGGAUGCGAGCGUUAUCCGGAUUUAUUGGGUUUAAAGGGUGCGUAGGCGGACGCUUAAGUCAGCGGUAAAAUUGCGGGGCUCAACCUCGUCGAGCCGUUGAAACUGGGUGCC